RNAcentral lists this ribosomal RNA (1369 nucleotides) under uncultured bacterium. RNAcentral describes it as "bacterial SSU rRNA". It matches the Rfam family "Bacterial small subunit ribosomal RNA", at positions 28 to 1381 of the family's 1533-position model. The record is from RNAcentral.
GACGAACGCUGGCGGCGUGCCUAAUACAUGCAAGUAGAACGCUGAAGAGAGGAGCUUGCUCUUCUUGGAUGAGUUGCGAACGGGUGAGUAACGCGUAGGUAACCUGCCUUGUAGCGGGGGAUAACUAUUGGAAACGAUAGCUAAUACCGCAUAACAAUGGAUGACACAUGUCAUUUAUUUGAAAGGGGCAAUUGCUCCACUACAAGAUGGACCUGCGUUGUAUUAGCUAGUAGGUGAGGUAACGGCUCACCUAGGCGACGAUACAUAGCCGACCUGAGAGGGUGAUCGGCCACACUGGGACUGAGACACGGCCCAGACUCCUACGGGAGGCAGCAGUAGGGAAUCUUCGGCAAUGGGGGCAACCCUGACCGAGCAACGCCGCGUGAGUGAAGAAGGUUUUCGGAUCGUAAAGCUCUGUUGUAAGUCAAGAACGAGUGUGAGAGUGGAAAGUUCACACUGUGACGGUAGCUUACCAGAAAGGGACGGCUAACUACGUGCCAGCAGCCGCGGUAAUACGUAGGUCCCGAGCAUUGUCCGGAUUUAUUGGGCGUAAAGCGAGCGCAGGCGGUUUGAUAAGUCUGAAGUUAAAGGCUGUGGCUCAACCAUAGUUCGCUUUGGAAACUGUCAAACUUGAGUGCAGAAGGGGAGAGUGGAAUUCCAUGUGUAGCGGUGAAAUGCGUAGAUAUAUGGAGGAACACCGGUGGCGAAAGCGGCUCUCUGGUCUGUAACUGACGCUGAGGCUCGAAAGCGUGGGGAGCGAACAGGAUUAGAUACCCUGGUAGUCCACGCCGUAAACGAUGAGUGCUAGGUGUUGGAUCCUUUCCGGGAUUCAGUGCCGCAGCUAACGCAUUAAGCACUCCGCCUGGGGAGUACGACCGCAAGGUUGAAACUCAAAGGAAUUGACGGGGGCCCGCACAAGCGGUGGAGCAUGUGGUUUAAUUCGAAGCAACGCGAAGAACCUUACCAGGUCUUGACAUCCCGAUGCUAUUUCUAGAGAUAGAAAGUUACUUCGGUACAUCGGUGACAGGUGGUGCAUGGUUGUCGUCAGCUCGUGUCGUGAGAUGUUGGGUUAAGUCCCGCAACGAGCGCAACCCCUAUUGUUAGUUGCCAUCAUUCAGUUGGGCACUCUAGCGAGACUGCCGGUAAUAAACCGGAGGAAGGUGGGGAUGACGUCAAAUCAUCAUGCCCCUUAUGACCUGGGCUACACACGUGCUACAAUGGUUGGUACAACGAGUUGCGAGUCGGUGACGGCAAGCUAAUCUCUUAAAGCCAAUCUCAGUUCGGAUUGUAGGCUGCAACUCGCCUACAUGAAGUCGGAAUCGCUAGUAAUCGCGGAUCAGCACGCCGCGGUGAAUACGUUCCCGGGCCU